Molecule: unclassified non-coding RNA, 268 nt
Filed under: Phanerochaete sp.
Lineage: Eukaryota; Fungi; Basidiomycota; Agaricomycetes; Polyporales; Phanerochaetaceae
Description: partial internal transcribed spacer region
Rfam family: Eukaryotic small subunit ribosomal RNA (bases 1-46)
Source: RNAcentral
AAGUCGUAACAAGGUUUCCGUAGGUGAACCUGCGGAAGGAUCAUUAACGAGUAACUGAACAGGUUGUAGCUGGCCUCUCGGGGCAUGUGCACACCUGGCUCAUCCACUCUUCAACCACUGUGCACUUAUUGUAGGUCGGCAGAAGGGCGAGUCUAACAGCUCGCUCGGAAGCCUUCCUAUGUUUUAUUACAAACGCUUCAGUUUAAGAAUGUAAACCUGCGUAUAACGCAACUAUAUACAACUUUCAGCAACGGAUCUCUAGGCUCUU